This 408-nucleotide ribosomal RNA is filed under the name uncultured bacterium. RNAcentral's name for it is "partial 16S ribosomal RNA". It matches the Rfam family "Bacterial small subunit ribosomal RNA", at positions 29 to 526 of the family's 1533-position model. The record is from RNAcentral.
AGUGAACGCUGGCGGCGUGCCUAAUACAUGCAAGUCGAACGGAGUGGCGCACGGGUGAGUAAUAUAUAGCUAAUCUGCCCCUUGCUGGAGGACAACAGUUAGAAAUGACUGCUAAUACUCCAUAGCAAGGGAUGAGACUAUAUCGUAUCAGCUAGUCGGUGGGGUAACGGCCUACCGAGGCUAUGACGCGUAACUGGUCUGAGAGGAUGAUCAGGAGAAUGGGAACUGAGACACGGUUCAAACUCCUUCGGGAGGCAGCAGAAGGGAAUAUCGCGCAAGGGGCGAAACCCAGACGCAGCAACGGCGCGUGGAGGAUGACACUGUGCGGAGCGUAAACUCCUUUUGUUAGGGAAGCGGUACCUAACGAAUAAGCACCGGCUAACUCCGUGCCAGCAGCCGCGGUAAUUC